RNAcentral lists this ribosomal RNA (274 nucleotides) under uncultured bacterium. RNAcentral's name for it is "partial 16S ribosomal RNA". It matches the Rfam family "Bacterial small subunit ribosomal RNA", at positions 523 to 796 of the family's 1533-position model. The record is from RNAcentral.
AUACGGAGGGUGCAAGCGUUAUUCGGAAUCACUGGGCGUAAAGGGUGCGUAGGCGGUUUGAUAAGUCUGAUGUGAAAUCCUAUGGCUCAACCAUAGAACUGCAUUGGAAACUGUCAGACUAGAAUACUGAAGGGGCAGAUGGAAUUAGUGGUGUAGGGGUGAAAUCCGUAGAUAUCACUAGGAAUACCGAAAGCGAAAGCGAUCUGCUGGGAAGUUAUUGACGCUGAGGCACGAAAGCGUGGGGAGCAAACGGGAUUAGAAACCCUUGUAGUCC